Molecule: non-coding RNA, 78 nt
Organism: Schistosoma margrebowiei
Lineage: Eukaryota; Metazoa; Platyhelminthes; Trematoda; Strigeidida; Schistosomatidae
Source: Rfam
GACGUUUUGGAUUCAUACGGAGAUUUAAUCAAACACCAGUCCACCAGAGUUGAUGAGACUCCCAAGAUAAGUGAAGUG